GUCCACGCCCUAAACGAUGUCAACUGGUUGUUGGACGGCUUGCUGUUCAGUAACGAAGCUAACGCGUGAAGUUGACCGCCUGUGGAGUACGGCCGCAAUGUUGAAACUCAAAGGAAUUGACGGGGACCCGCACAAGCGGUGGAUGAUGUGGUUUAAUUCGAUGCAACGCGAAAACCUUACCUACCCUUGACAUGUCAAGAAUCCUGCAGAGAUGUGGGAGUGCUCGAAAGAGAACUUGAACACAGGUGCUGCAUGGCCGUCGU
This 263-nucleotide ribosomal RNA is filed under the name uncultured bacterium. RNAcentral's name for it is "partial 16S ribosomal RNA". It matches the Rfam family "Bacterial small subunit ribosomal RNA", at positions 793 to 1055 of the family's 1533-position model. The record is from RNAcentral.